Molecule: unclassified non-coding RNA, 1561 nt
Filed under: Saccoglossus kowalevskii
Lineage: Eukaryota; Metazoa; Hemichordata; Enteropneusta; Harrimaniidae
Description: kH domain-containing, RNA-binding, signal transduction-associated protein 2-like, transcript variant X2
Source: RNAcentral
AAUUGACGCGCGCCGUGUGAUAUUUAGAAAACGUUUAGUUUUUAAAUAACUGCUGACACAUAUAUUGUAUAUAUGUCAACUAGAUGCAGUUAAUAACUAUACAGGAGUGUAGAUUUUAGUCAUAUUACAAACGAUACAACGUUUAUUUAUUGUGCACUAUUUUUGUGUGCGGCAGAAUAUGCAAAGUGAAAAGCUGUAAUAGGUACAGACUUCACUUGAAUUUGUUGACAGCGCGUGGAUUUCGACAGCUUCGCUACUUGCUUUUUUCAGUUCUUGACCGACCUUUACCAACAACAAUGACUGAAACAACAUCAAAAGAUCAGCAACUUGCUGAAUUACAGAAUGAAAGAGAUCAGUUGAUGAGCGCAGGCCACCAACUUGCUGUUCAGUUAAUUGACGAUGAAAUUAAAAAGGUACAAGACACUGAAGGGGAUGAGAUUAUUAAAAGCCCAAAAGGUUUUAAAUUUAUUGAUCUUACACAUGACAAACCCAUCAGAGUCUCUGAGAGAGUUAUUGUGCCAGUAAAGGACCAUCCAAAAUUUAACUUCAUUGGCAAAAUUCUUGGUCCACGUGGCAAUUCCUUGAAAAGAAUGCAGACAGAAACUGGUACAAAAAUAUCCAUUCUUGGGAAAGGAUCUAUGAGAGAUAAAAAAAGGGAAGAUGACCUGAGAGCUGGUGGCGAAGCUAAAUUUAGCCAUUUGAGUGAAGAGUUGCACAUUCUUGUUGAAGCAUAUUCAUUACCACCUGAUGCUCAUACUAGAGUUGGACAUGCCUUAAGAGAGCUACGAAAAUACUUAAUACCUGAUAACAAUGAUGACAUCAGACAGGAUCAGUUGAGAGAACUUGCAGUUAUAAAUGGCACGCUUGAUGCUCCCCCUUCGGGACGUGGUGGUCGUGGAGGGCCAAUGAGAGGCAGGGGUGGACCAGGUGGUUCUGGACGUGGCGGCUCUGGAUUUAGAGGAGGGAUGUCGUCCGGGCCAAGAGGGCCAGCACCUGCUGGGGGCAGAGGUGGUUUUGGUAGCAGUGCACGUGGUGGAUCAAUGUUUGGCAGUCCGGGUGCUGGAAGGCCGAGUAAGCCAGAUUCAUUUGGAUUUGAGGAGCCGUACGAACAGAGCUACGACCAGUUUUUUGAUUCUUCUUCAUCAUAUAUGGACAAUUCAGGUGCAAGUGGUGGCGAUGAUGGUUACUAUGACUCCAGCUACCCAAGUGGGGGUGGUGGUAAUGAUUUUGGGCAAAGCUAUGGUGGUGAUCAAAGCUGGAGUAGUGGUGGUGCCCGCUUCAAAUCUCCACCAAUCAAACCUGGUCCAAGAACCCAUCCAUAUUCACGAUUUUAAACCAAGUGUCCGACUAAAAGGGUAACUGACACAUCUGACUGAAAUGCAUAGAGCUUGUGAAGUUAUAGAAUUAAGAGAUUCUGAAGAGAAAUGAUCAUCGAUACGAUUCACAAACUAGGAAAUGUAUGCAGUUAUUGUCACUAAUGCAUUUCCUUAACUCUUCACAAUGUCUCUCGUAAAUAUUCACAAAAUACUGGUGUUAAAUGGAGUGUUAUCUGCUUUGAAGA